Molecule: non-coding RNA, 85 nt
Organism: Cucurbitaria berberidis CBS 394.84
Lineage: Eukaryota; Fungi; Ascomycota; Dothideomycetes; Pleosporales; Cucurbitariaceae
Source: the annotation of a RefSeq genome assembly
GGAGCCUUGGCGCAAUGGUAGCGCGUUGGUUUUCGGUCUUGUGCCUGUUCACCAAAGGUUGUGGGUUCGAUCCCCAUGGGCUUCG